Non-coding RNA from Rattus norvegicus (Norway rat), 2585 nucleotides. NCBI's taxonomy places the organism in Eukaryota, Metazoa, Chordata, Mammalia, Rodentia, Muridae. The record is from RefSeq and is a predicted model, not a curated record.
CCCAAACGUGCCCGGGCUGUCCACUGCCUGAGCCCGAGAGUUCCGCGCGCACGGCUCCUGUCAUCAAAGCUACCCUCGCUGUAAAUGUCCUGAAAGAUCGGGUGGAUCCAGCCUUUGAGGAUCCAGUUCCAGGCAAGUAGUCUGUCACCAGGAAGUGGCCAAGAGCAUCCACAGCCAGCCCUCGGGGGGACAAGAACUUGCCUACAGUCACCCAGCGGCCCUGGGGUUCCCGGGAAGUGUACCGAAGAGCAUACACAGCCCUGUGGAUGAGGUCACUGACCACCACAAGCCCUGCAGCUGUCACAGCCACAUCCUCUGGAACAAAGGCUCCAGUUCUAGGAAUGCAGCAGGGUAGUUGACAAAUGGAGCGUCCCUCAAGAUCCAGCACAUGGACACAAGAUGCAGCACCAGCCGUCAAGAAGAGCAGGCCAUCUGGGGAACAGUGCAGGCCUCGGGGGCUCCCUGCAGCCCCUGCUGGCACCAGGAUUCGUCCCAGCAGCCGAGGCUGCCAAGAGCCACUGGCAUCUCUAAGUUGGUCCAGCCUGAGAUGAGGCCCUUGCGGGUAGGUGGCUGGGGAUAGGGGUGGCCCAGGAGGUCAAGGAGUCAGGACAGACGGGAGGCCAGGGCAGCAAGCAGUCACAGUCUCGGCUUCUCUGCAGCUGCAAAAGAGUUGGAACAUCCAUGUGUGCAGAUGGUGGCCCAUGGGUGCUGGCACCCUCCCAUUGUAGAUGAAGAGCUAAGGUGAGGUAGGAGGUGGAGGGGAAGGCUGAGCUGCAUGUGUGUUCAAUUCCUCCCGGUUCUGAGUGCUCACCUGGUCCCCAAGCACAGCAACCACACAGGUGUCUAGGUGUCUGCUGCAGUAGUCUGAGAGAUACUAUGCACCCAAAAGGGUCAAAGGUUUAGCUCUAAGGCUCAAAUCGCAUGCACGGCUGUGUCCUGGCUUGAGAAGGAGGAGGGGAGGAGGCAGAUAAGCAGCCCUGGGAUGACUCCUUCAUAGGAGUUGCCUAAGUUCGCAUUAGUCCCUCACCACUAUCACCUCCAUCUUCACCUCGACCAUCACCAUACACAGCCCCUCUGCUUUAGCCAGGGAGACAUUCAAACUCCAACCUCCCAGGGCUCCCCACUUGCCCCUCACCCCUUGCACAGAGAUUAUGAUACCUCUUACCUGGGGCUAACUGGCCUCGGGGCUUGAGGUCAGGCCUCUGUUGUUAGAGACAGCAUAGGUGUGUGUGUUGGGGGAGGGUGUAGCUAGGGGAGGAGUGACCAGGCAAGUUUCCUGCAGGGACAAGUUGAUUUGUUUGGACUGAGUCCCCAGCCUCCAGGCCUGCACCCUCUGGUUUGGGUCUUCACAUUGGCCUCACCCUAAUCCUGAACACUUUCUACUGCCCCUGCACAGCUCCACUGGGCAAGCCUGACUGUUCAAGAGGCACCCCCAGCCCUCUACAACUAUAGGUCACCCCUCCAGGCAGGACUUUUGUGUCAGGACCACACCUUGGUCACCCUCUUGGCAGCUCCACCAAGAAGUCAAGCUCUUCCUGUGAGGCUGGUGAUGCCGCUCCCUCCCAGGGUCAGACAGCAGAGUGGUAGGCACAUGGGGGUGCUGAGAGGAAGGUGCCCCAGAUUUAAGACCUGAGGUUCCUUGGACCCCUGGCUCUGACCUCGGCAGUCCCCCCCAGAAGCGUCCAGGUCAAUGGCGCCCAGCUAGCUUGUGUCACCCCUGGCCUGUAGCCCCACAGUUCCCUGGGCUGGCCAGCCAGAACUCUAGCCCCAACGCCACUUGUAAUGCCUCACAGUGGGGUGGCUUCCUGAUGCUAUCACCAGGUAGGUGGUUAAUGGGGCAGCUGAAGGUCCUGUUCGGACUGGCCCUGGCCUGGCCAAUCCAGCCCCAGUGAGAACAGUGCCUCCUCUGAGGGCAGCUUGUACUUCAGGGCAUUCCUGGGUGGGCUACAGCCCAGCUCCCCAGGGAGAAAAGCGAUUCGCUAUGGCUGGGGGGCCCCAGCAGCCCUCCCUAGCUAUCUCCCACCCUGGCCUGUGGAAGACCAAGCAGGGCUGUACUGGGAAGGAAGCAGUGAGCUGUGAAGGCCACCGAUGCCUAUCGUGGCUGCAGGGGCUGGCGGGGGGCCCAGGAAGGCCACACGGGGUAAGCAGCCUGGAGCCAUAGAAGGCAGGAGGCUUUGGCCACCACAGGCAAAGCUGGCAUUAGGCUGCUUGGAUGGAUUCAGGCCCAAGGACGUGCAGGGUCCUUGCCCAUCCCCAGUGAGCUGAAACAGGCCAGGUCAUCCUGCCAUGUCUGCCUCUCUGCCACUCUUCCCUGAGUUCCCUAAUUAAAUGAACCCGGGUCACCCCUUGGUGGACCUUAUAUUUGGGCCAAAAAAUAAGGAUUUUUUUGUGGCCAAAGGUGAGCCCCAGUAUGGUGUCCAGGACUCUUGCUCACUGGAUACUGAGGCCAGGGGACAUUUCCUUUAGGGUGCUCGAUGCUUAUAUGAGGACAGAAAAGAAAAGAGACCCAAGUAAGGGGUGUUUGAAGGCGUUUUCUAUUUUAAUGUCCACAACUUCAAUAAAUAAAUCAUGACCUUUCUAGUCCA